GUGCACGCUGGCGGUAUGCCUCACACAUGCCAGUCGAACGGCAGCACCGUAAGAGCUUGCUCUUACGGUUGGCGAGUGGCGGACGGGUGAGGAAUACAUCGGAAUCUACUUUUUCGUGGGGGAUAACGUAGGGAAACUUACGCUAAUACCGCAUACGACCUACGGGUGAAAGCAGGGGAUCUUCGGACCUUGCCCGACUGAAUGAGCCGAUGUCGGAUUAGCUAGUUGGCGGGGUAAAGGCCCACCAAGGCGACGAUCCGUAGCUGGUCUGAGAGGAUGAUCAGCCACACUGGAACUGAGACACGGUCCAGACUCCUACGGGAGGCAGCAGUGGGGAAUAUUGGACAAUGGGCGCAAGCCUGAUCCAGCCAUACCGCGUGGGUGAAGAAGGCCUUCGGGUUGUAAAGCCCUUUUGUUGGGAAAGAAAAGCAGCAGGUUAAUACCCCGCUGUUCUGACGGUACCCAAAGAAUAAGCACCGGCUAACUUCGUG
This 491-nucleotide ribosomal RNA is filed under the name uncultured bacterium. RNAcentral's name for it is "partial 16S ribosomal RNA". It matches the Rfam family "Bacterial small subunit ribosomal RNA", at positions 29 to 507 of the family's 1533-position model. The record is from RNAcentral.